RNAcentral lists this ribosomal RNA (433 nucleotides) under uncultured bacterium. Its description in RNAcentral is "partial 16S ribosomal RNA". It matches the Rfam family "Bacterial small subunit ribosomal RNA", at positions 28 to 507 of the family's 1533-position model. The record is from RNAcentral.
AACGAACGCUGGCGGCAGGCCUAACACAUGCAAGUCGAGCGAGGACUUCGGUCCUACCGGCGGCCGGGGGGGUAACGCGGGGGAACGUGCCCUUUGCUUCGGAAUAGCUCUCUGAAACGGGGGAUAAUAACGGAUGAGCCCCCAGGGGGAACGAUUUACCGGCGCAGGAUCGGGCCGCGUUAGAUUAGGUCGUUGGGGGGGUAAUCGCCUGCCAAGCCGGCGGUCCGUAGCUGGUUUGAGAGGAUGAUCAGCCAGACUGGGACGGAGACACGGCCCAGACUCCUACAGGAGGCAGCAGUGGGGAAUCUUAGAGACUGGGAGAUACGCUGAUCAAGCCACGCCGGGUGAGCGAUGAAGGCCUCAGGGCUGUAAAGCUGUUUCAGCUGGGAAGAUAAUGACGGUACCCGCAGAAGAAGCCCCGGCUAACUCCGUG